Molecule: long non-coding RNA, 680 nt
Organism: Oryza brachyantha (malo sina)
Lineage: Eukaryota; Viridiplantae; Streptophyta; Magnoliopsida; Poales; Poaceae
Exons: 3
Source: RefSeq, a predicted model, not a curated record
UCAACAAUUUUGAGAGGAGCGUUGUUGGUGCGCUUUGUAAAUUCUAGUUGAUGCAAUAAAGUCAAGUUCAUUUGAUCUACGUCUUCGACUUUCAUCUACUAGUGAUUUUCUGGAUUCUGACGAUCUGAUCGGCGCUGGUGACUUUCUAGAUUUCGACGAUCUGAUCGGCGGCACAGGUGCGGUGAGAUAAAGGUAGCGGUGGCAUAAGGAGCGAGGCGAUCAAGAUAUUCUUCGACAGAGGGACAUGCUAGAGGCAAGAUGUUCUCCUUUUUCUGGAAGGGUUUACAUAGUAUUAAAGCUUGGGUUUUGAGAGGUGCUACUGAAGUAAAGUGGAAGAAGUUGUUGAAGGAGGACGAGGUGGUGAUUCUGGACUGUUGGACUGCAGCGCUUCAAUGUUCAGUGAGAAGUCUCCGAAAUGCAAGAUCAGGGGGGUGAAGCUGUAGGCUGUGUGGGGUGGCCUUGGCGUUUUGUGCUGUUAACUGAGAUAGUUAGAGUUGGUUUGUGGGGUUGGUUUUUCAAGUGUCUGUUGUAAUUCUGGGUUCAGGCGAGCGAAGCGUUUGGUUAGGCUUAGUUUCUUUAGACCUUUUGUCCUUCUAGUGUGUUUUGUUCCUGUUCUGGCAAGCCGGUGUCCCCGGUAUACCUUGUGACCUGUUUUUUUCGCUUUACUGAAAAGCUGGGCC